Molecule: ribosomal RNA, 404 nt
Filed under: Actinomycetes bacterium
Lineage: Bacteria; Bacillati; Actinomycetota; Actinomycetes
Description: Actinobacteria bacterium partial 16S ribosomal RNA
Rfam family: Bacterial small subunit ribosomal RNA
Source: RNAcentral
UGGGGAAUAUUGGACAAUGGGCGCAAGCCUGAUCCAGCCAUGCCGCGUGAGUGAUGAAGGCCCUAGGGUUGUAAAGCUCUUUCACCGGUGAAGAUAAUGACGGUAACCGGAGAAGAAGCCCCGGCUAACUCCGUGCCAGCAGCCGCGGUAAUACGAAGGGGGCUAGCGUUGUUCGGAUUUACUGGGCGUAAAGCGCACGUAGGCGGACUAUUAAGUCAGGGGUGAAAUCCCGGGGCUCAACCCCGGAACUGCCUUUGAUACUGGUAGUCUUGAGUUCGAGAGAGGUGAGUGGAAUUCCGAGUGUAGAGGUGAAAUUCGUAGAUAUUCGGAGGAACACCAGUGGCGAAGGCGGCUCACUGGCUCGAUACUGACGCUGAGGUGCGAAAGCGUGGGGAGCAAACAGG